AAAACAAAAGACGAGUUAAUCACCGACUUUAUUAUUUUAUUGUAUCAGAUGUAACGUUACAGACUCUUCUUUAGCGUGCUGAACGUUAGUUGCAUAAUGUCUGACUCUUCUGUGAUCACAACAUGAAGCCUUUAAAUGUUAAUGCCAAUUUUACACGACUCGUCACUUAUAAACACAGAGAAUGCGUCCUUUAAAUUACAUUAACAAUAUGAUGAAUUUCCAUGAAUCGUAGAACAACAGUGGCCCGAAAAAAAUAAAGUUCUGCAUUAAUAAAUGCAUUAUGCAAACAUUAUAGUUGUCUUAGUCUUAUGCAACAACAAAAUUUAAUACUGUAUAAUUUCACCUUCGUAAGCAUGUAUGCCGGGUUUGCAGUUGAUUAAUUUUAAUGUAGAUAUCCGUGUAUUUUCCAGUCUGUUGUAUUUUCAAAUGUUGACGUCGCGCGGAGAUGACGUCAGAUUGUGAUCCCCACUGGCCGCUCGACCGCACGUCAACGUCGCUGCCAUAUUGGAGCGGGCAACUCUCAUAACUCUCACAUCAGGAAAGAAGAAAAUCUUACCUGACUAAUCGACAGAUUGGACACCUACAAACCGUCACACGAUAAUAAAAACAGAUCUCGGGGUGUUAUCUUUCAGAGUCAUUUGCAAACAGGACAAGGACAGCCUAAAGGAAAGCUGAGGAAACCUGUUCUCAGAGACAAGACUAUACCUCCCUAGACUAGUGUUGUGUUUGUACUAAACACAGAGCAGCCCUGAAUGAAUCGACAGAAUGACCCAGCUCAUAUUCUAAAGCGAUUAAAAAACUGCCAAAGUUAAUGCUUCUCGAUUUAAGGAUGUUCAGAUAUUUGAGCUGGAAAACAAGAGUAAGAGCAUCAUUCUCUGUGGUGAAGAAGAACACCAUGACCUUCAUCAAAUUAAAAUCUCUCGUGUUUGUGUCUGAGUCGAACGGUGACAGGUAAAAGAAAAGAGUUAAAAAGAAACCCUGGACAAUCUUCCUAAAACAUACGUCUGCAGGAACCUUGAUGAUUAUAAAUAUGCUUUAUCUUUAUCACAGUAUAAUUUAAUCAAACCUCGUGUUUUCAACUCCAUAUUUAUACUGAAAAUAAAAGUAGCUGUGAUCUUAUUCUAGUUAACGGCUCUGAAAUUGAGUGACAGCUGAUUGGUUGAUUCACAAAUGUCUUCACACACAAACUGCUUCAUAUUCAAGAUAUGAUAUCAAGAUUCAUAUUUAGAUUAACACUCAUAUAACUGUAUUGUCUGUGUGAGAGGAAUCAAACAAUCAAAUCCUGCGAUCGUUUACUCUUCCUCAGC
Long non-coding RNA from Carassius auratus (goldfish), 1307 nucleotides. RefSeq lists it as uncharacterized. The transcript has 3 exons. The record is from RefSeq and is a predicted model, not a curated record. NCBI's taxonomy places the organism in Eukaryota, Metazoa, Chordata, Actinopteri, Cypriniformes, Cyprinidae.